CUCUGACACUGGGGGGACGCUGAGGGAUCUGGGGGAGUUGGGAACGGUCAGGGGGAGGGUCAUGGUUGGGCUGGAGGAGCUGCAAGGGAUUUUUCCAACCCCAAUGAUUCUGGGUUUCUGU
Athene cunicularia (burrowing owl) is the source of this 121-nucleotide long non-coding RNA. RefSeq lists it as uncharacterized. The transcript is spliced from 3 exons. The record is from RefSeq and is a predicted model, not a curated record. Lineage: Eukaryota; Metazoa; Chordata; Aves; Strigiformes; Strigidae.